CUACUCGUCCCUUAGCCUACAUUAUAACCAAAAUGGCAAAUGAAGUAGAUGCAGACCGUAUGGACAAAUGCAACAGGGGGAAAGCCAAAAUGGAUGAGGAAGGAGCUGGUAGGAAAGGCCAGCAUGAUCCAGGACCAUCAUAUAUAUGAGAAUUGUUACUUGGAACAUAAGAGGGCUGAAUUUAGCCCAUAAACAAAAGGAACUGAAAAGUUUCUUAAAUGUAAAUAAAGUAGAUGUGUUGGGG
RNAcentral lists this long non-coding RNA (244 nucleotides) under Nicotiana benthamiana. RNAcentral's name for it is "long non-coding RNA (NBEN_LNC004578)". Lineage: Eukaryota; Viridiplantae; Streptophyta; Magnoliopsida; Solanales; Solanaceae. The record is from RNAcentral.